CCGCUGUCUCCAUUUCCAGUUUCUGACGCACACUAGGCACCCUGCGGCCGCUGUCUUCCAGCGACGCACCAGGCAAUCGAGGAGGAGACAUACCACCGCUCGGUCCCUGGGCGUGGACUAUAUAAAAAGCGAGGCCACCGCUCGGAAUACACUUCCGCAUCGUCGUCGUCUUCGUCUCGGAGUGUCCGCAGCAAGACCAGGUCGUCCAGUCCUCCUAUAUUGGAUUGCCCUUUUGUUUCGUACAGGGGCAUAUCAGAAGUCGAAGAAGUUUGCUGAAGCCAGUUCCCUUUAUUGUUCAAGUCAGAUGUUGGCUGGUUCAGAGCAUGGUUGUUGAAGGUUAUUUAUCUGUUGAAAAAAAUGGGAUUUGAUAACGAGUGCAUACCGAAUAUUCAGUCACUUCCUGGAGAAUAUUUUUGUCCUGUUUGUCGUCAGCUGGUCUACCCUAAUGAAGCUAUACAAACACAGUGCACUCAUCUUUAUUGCAAACCUUGCUUAACAUACAUUGUGAGCACCACAAGGGCUUGCCCUUAUGAUGGCUAUCUUGUGACAGAAGCAGAUGCGAAGCCCCUUAUAGAAUCAAACAAGUCAAUUGCUGAGGCUAUAGGACGUAUACCAGUGUAUUGUCUUUAUCACAGGAGUGGUUGCACAUGGCAGGGUUCCUUUUCUGAGUGCACAACACAUUGUACAAGUUGCCCUUAUGGCUCAUCCCCUGUUGUGUGCAAUAGGUGUGGGACACAGAUUGUUCACCGGCAAGUGCAGGAACAUGCUCAGAAUUGUCCAGGAACACAGCCUUUGCAACAGGAGGGUGGUCAGGCUCCAGCUACAUCAACAGCAGCCGUGGAACCAAACCAGGCUGUUGCUGCAAGUGCCCCACAAGCUGGUGGAACCACUAACCAAGCUGCUGCUGCUCAGACUGUCACGGAUCAGAGUCAGGCUUCUACGAUUGUUCAAUCCCAACCCUCUUCUGUGGUACCAACUCCAGAGCAGUGGUAUCAACAAUAUCAGCAAUACUAUCAACAAUAUCCUCAAUAUCAACAAUAUCACCAGCACUUUGUGCAAUAUGACCAAUAUCAGCAACAUGUUCAACAGUAUCAGCCACACUUGCAGACUCAACCUCAGGGGCAACCCAAUGCACAGUCAUAUUUACAGCCACAGCCUCAGCCUCAGCCUCAGCCUCAUUCACAUGGUCAGCCUCAAAUAGUUCCUCAUUUGCAGCAGACUCAUGUACAGGCUAAUGCUCAACCACAAGUGCACACACAUGGGCAACCACCGGCACAACCUGCUGUUCAUCAACAAUCUCAGGCCAACCAGCCACAGGCACAACCACAGCCACAGGCACAACCACAGCCACAGCCACAGACACAGUCGCAACUACAACCUCAGGCACAAUCACAGUUGCAAUCUGCAUCACAACAACCACAGGCCCAGGUGCAAGGACAGCCACAGGCACAGGCACUAGUGCAGCCUCAGCCACUGCCUCAGUCACAGCCACAGCCACAGCCACAGCCACAGCCUCAACCACUGCAUCAGGCUCAGCCUCAAUCUCAGCCUCAACCUCAGCCUCAGCUGCACUCACAACAAGCGCAACCGCAACCUCAGCCUCAUUUACUGCCACAGCAACAAGUUUUGCCUCAGCCUCAGUUACAGCCCCAUCCUCCUGCACAUUCUCAUGCUCAUCAGCAACACCCAUAUCCUCAACCCCAAGUCCAGGCUCAUCAGCACGCAUAUCCACAGCCUCAACCCUAUGGGCAUGUGCAGCAACAACUGCCUCCUGCUCAGCUACAGCAUCAGCAGUUUCCUCAUCAACAAGGUCAUGUUCAUCCGUAUCCACAAUCAAAUCUACAUCCUCAGCAUCAACCACAGAUGCAGCAUCCUCUGGCGGCUCAUCAGUCUUAUCCCCAAGCAAUCCAGACUCCUGUUCCACAACCCCAACAUCAGCAACAGGCUGUCCCAGUGCAUCUUCACCAGCAGAAUUCUUCAGUUCAACAGCAUUCUAUGCAGAUGCCUGUUCAACAGCAGCCACUAAACCAACCUCUUCCUCAUCAGAUGCCAGUACCUAAUCAAUUUCCUUCCCAGCAGAUGCGGCCUCAACAUCCUCCCUUGCAAUCUCAUGGAUCCAUGCAACACCACCAACAACCAGCCAUGACACCCAUGCAAGCUCAUCACCCGCAUGCCCCUCCACAGCAGCAGCCACAUAUGGCACCUCAGCAGUCUGCUCAACCGGUUCCUCAAGGGCAUGCUUACCCAGGCAUGCAACCGCCACCACAGCAACAGGUGCCAGUGACACAGUUCCAUCAACAGCCACAGGCGCAUUCCCAGCCUCCCCAGUUAUACCCUGGACUACCACCCAAAAUGGGGAACAACUACCAACAACAACAGGCCCCACCCUUAACAGCACAGCAGCCUUUGCGUCCACAUGGGCCUUCUGCUAUCCAACAGCAUCCUCCGGCACAGGUCCCAAUGAACCACAAUUUGCCUCCCUCACAGGCUACACCUCCACAACAAUUCCCAAAUGCUGCACAAGGAGCAGUUCCACAGCACCAUGUUGGCCGGCCUAUGCAAAAUCAUGGAGUGCAACAACAGCUCUUACAACCAAUUCCUGGUGGACUUCUCAUGGGACAGGAUGCACGUGGCCCCAUUAGGCCACUGUUGUCUAACACUGGCCAACAGUCUUCUCCAGGCCAAAAUAUGCCAAGGACAAAUCCUUCGCUCAUACCUGAACAGCAGCAACUCUCUUCCAUGCAACAUUCUUCCAGUCAGCUAGCUUCAGUCGCUUCUUCUGCAGGAUCACAAUCUGGUGCUACUCUCAAUCAGGCAAAUGUUGCAGCUACUUCGACGCUUGCUGACAUGAAGCAAGAAACCAUGCGGGAUCAAGCCACCGAGCCUCCUGCUUUACGUGUUAAAUCCUUUUCUGCAGAUGCUGCAGGAACCAACAAAUCAGAUUCUAAACAUGAUGAUGACAAUGGGUGUAAGGUGUCAAAAUCUUUGAACAGCGUAGACUCUUUGGAUGUCAAAGAGAAGGGAAGUUGUGAUGUUGCAGAUAAAAAACUGUUGUCUGUGGAGCAUACUGUUUCUGAGGAUUCUGAUUCUUCUUUGAUGCCUCAAAAGGAUGCUGAGCUACAUGGAUUUAGUGAUGGUAACCUAAAUGAGAAUGCUUCCUCAAAGGUGAAUGCUCCUGAGAAGCUGUUAGAACCUUCAGAUAUUGGUAAUCAGCCAGAUACAAAUGGAGUCAUACAGGGUGCCUUGAAGUAUGACAAGGAUACCCAAGGAGAGGAAAAGCAAGAGGUUCCCAUGGAUAGGGAAGAUCCUGAGCAUGCACUUGAUCUCACUCAAACAAAAGACAAUGAUAUUUAUAAAGAGAAGGAUGCAGAAGAUUCACAAAAAUCCCAGAAGUCUCAGGAGGUUAAUGGGUCUGCUCAUACUUUUUCGGCUCCUGAGAAAGAUUCAGAGUUAAACAAGUUAACUUCUGGGCCUCAGCCAGUGGAGGAUGCAGUUGGGGGGUCACAAGCUUUUCCAGGACGUGAUAGAAAUGGUGUUCUACCUCAGGGAACUGAAAGAAAUAAUUUUGUGUCUUCACAGCAGCAUGCAAUUGGUGGUUCUGAUAAAACCAUGUUGCAGCAUCAUCCACACAUCAUAGGUCCAAUGCACGAGCUGAAGGCACCACAAUCUGGUUUCUCAGAGAGGAGUUUGCUGCCACUUUCCCAGCACGUUCCUCCUCCUGAUGAAACACGUACAAUGAGCCACUUUGUCCGUCCGGAGCAGAGUCAGAUGCAAGCAAAUAGUUUUCCACAGCCUGCCCAUCCCUUUCCUGCACCUAAUGACAGGCAGUUUCAGCCAUUCCCUCUUCAGCAUGGCCCUCCUUAUGGCGAAAGGGGUAUGCAAGUUCAGCGGCCUCCAUUACAACAGCCCCUGGGGCCUAAUUUGGAUAGGAGGUUUCCAGAGCCACCACAUCAAGUUCCAGGUCAGGGGCAGUUCCCACCAAGUCAUAGGCCUCAAGGCCCUGGUCCAUUUGAAACCUUUUCCCAACAUGGACCACAACAAGUCAUGCCUGAUCAUUUUCAGCUGCCUGCUAAGCAGCAAGUUAUACCCCAUACUUCCUUAAGUAAUGAACCCAAUAACUUUUCUGGUCCACCACCGCCCUUUGGCAGAGUUGAAAGCUCCAUUCCUCCUCAUGGACAGGCCUUCCCACCUCAUGCUGCAGGCCCAAAAUUCCCCAGGGAUCCAUCUGCAGGACUGCCUAUGGGGCCAUCACGCCCUGGCCCUUUUGAUCCUCCAGGUGGCGUGAUCCCUCAUGGACCUAUGAGAGGUCCUGAUGGUCAACUAGUCAGGCCUCCUCCAAGUGCAGUUGAACAAGCUGAUGGUUUGCCAGGCCGAAGAGCUGGAUUUUUUGAAGGUUGGCAGCCAGACAUUCGUCCACCUUUAUCAGCUGAUCGUCCACUAAUGGGCCAAGCUUCUGUAUUUCAGCCUGGCAAGGGACCUGCAUUUCCCCAAGGUUUACCAGAUGAACGAUUCAAGUCUCUUCCUGGUGAGAUGUUCAAAUCUCCACUGGAUGAACCAUUCAAACCUUUGCCAGAUGAACAGUUCAGGUCAUUCCCACAUGAUCCAUCCAAGCGAAAUGUCGAGCGGAAAGAGUUUGAGGAAGACCUUAGAAAGUUUCCUCGCCCUGGUCAUCUUGAUGUUGAAAGGGGACCCCAACAUGAUGAUUACUUUUCAUCUUCACGGCAUCAAGGUGGUCCUAUCAACUUUGAACAUGCAAGGAACAUGGAAGGUGGGCUCCAUGGAUUUGGACGUGACUCUGGGCUUAAAGUUGAUGCUGCUGGAGUUCCACCAAGGCCUUUUGGUUCAUUUCCUAGUAGCAGUGAUAAUUUUGAUAGAAAAGCUGAUCAAGUUGGCUCUAGGUCUGAUUUUCUUCGACCAGUUCAAGAAUUUGGCCGUCCUCACGUUGAUGGUCUUCCAAGAAGCCCAGGAAGGGAAUUUGGUGGUCUAUCCAGGCGUUUCAUUGGUGGAUCACCUCGUCUUGGUUCUGGUGGUCUUUCACGCUCCUUAGAUGAUUUUGGUGGAAAAGAGGCCAUCGGUGAGCGUGCUAAGUCAUAUAAUUUAUCUGAAGAUAUCUCCAAUUUCCAUGGCAGAAAACCACCAAUGGGUGACUUUGAGGGCCGUUUCCCACCGUUCCCUUCAUCUGAUCUUGGUUUUGGUGCUAUCAGUGAGCCGUUUGGUCCUGGCAGUUUGCCUCUUCAGUUGAGGCGUGACAUUGCUGGCCAUCUGCGAAGUGGUGAACCUAUUGGACCACGUUUUGGUGAAUCACCAGGUCUGUUGAAUCCCCAUAGCCAUUUGCGAUUUGGAGAGCCAUUUUAUUCAGCGAAUUUGCCUCCUCAUCUAGGUGUUGGUGAGUCUCUUCGUGGAGAAGGCAACCACUAUAAUCCAUUGAUGCGUCAGCAUGAGAUCGAUCAUCCAAGGAAAAGGAAGCCUAGCAGUAUGGGAUGGUGCCGUAUCUGUCAGAUUGACUGUGAAACUGUGGAGGGUUUGGACCUACACUCCCAAACACGCGAGCAUCAAAAAAUGGCAAUGGAUAUGGUUAUGAGCAUCAAGCAGGAUACUGCCAAGAAACAAAAACUGUCCUCUGAAGACCGUGCACAAGAUGAUACAGUUAGGUCAAAGAAAUCUAGUUUUGAAAGUCGUGGAAAUAAGCAUUGAGAAAAAUGGUACUGUUUCCAAGACUAUACUACGUGGUGUUUGCGUUUCUCUGGAAGCAUCUUCGACCUGGUUGGUCUAGCAUUUUGUGGAGAUGGGGUUGUUGACAUUAAGGUUCCCACGUUUCUUUUGGAUAUUCAAGCUUCUGACAAUUGACACUUCAUUUUGGAAAAGACUAGUAAAGUUAACUGGAGGACUUUGAAGUGAAUCGUUUAAGUUGAAGGUGAUUUUGAAGGAGACUUGAUUGGUUGCUUCUUGGUUGGUUAGCGAUCAAGUGAUGCCAAUGGCUACCUUAGAUUUCAGGUGAUAUGACACCUAAACAUUAUAUGUUGUCCUGUAAAUGCUUUCCAAUUUUAAUUCGAUAAUAUUUGAUUAUAAUUUGCAAUCCAGUAAUUUUAUUUUUCUUCUUUCUAUAUAGUUUAAUAAAUUACCAAUUAAUCUUUCCGCCUGAAGCAUAAAAUCAAUCCAUCGUGUUCCUAUUUAAAUGUCUCCAUGAAGUUGAUGGACUGCAAACAUAAUUAUGUCUAACCAUGGCACCUCCAUCCCUAGAGACUGUUAUUCAUGUUUGUAAUAGCUAAAGUUAUUGGGUCUAUCAGACGCUAGACUGAAAAUUUUCACGUUAUAUUUGGACUUUGUGUUGUGGUUCAUUGUUUUUCGAUGAUGAGGAGAUUUAUGGGUAUCUUGCAGGCACUGAAUGGAAAACUGUAUACUUUCACUCAUAUAUGUGCAAGGCACAUAGGUACAUUUAGAAGCAAUGCCUAGGACUUUUUGUCCUAGUGUCCCAAAUCAAUUUCAGUGUCAACACUAUGUAGAAGAGAAGCAUAGGAUUCAUCAUAUGGGUGUGUUUUUCAGUUGUCAUUCUUUUGUCCUAGUUACACGUUGUUUCAUCUAUUCCUGUCAUCCGAUUGUUGUCCUUGUGCAAUAAACACUAGCAGUAGUUCUAUGAGUUGUGGGAACUUCAUUUGGUUGUCCUCGUGUAAUCAAUACCAAUAGUGAUAGUUGUUUUAUUAUAUCACGCUCGUGAAUUACAUUUAGUCCAUCUCUAUCUCUGGCUCUGUCACAUGGGUGUGGACCCUGGUGCAAGACUUGUUCAGAAAACUUGUGUGCCUGGACAUGGCUGUAUGUAAGACCUAUAUAUAUGCCUGUGUUUUAGGUAUGUUUAUGUAUUAUAUAUAUUUAUCUUGGUUGUCAAGGCGCCCAUGCAGCGCCUGGCGCCUAGGUGGGGCUAGGUGGGCCUAGGCAAAAAGGUGACCUUUUUUUGUGUGUUUUUUUGGUUAUGUUAAGCAUUACAUAAUAAAAUUAUGUAGUUGCUGACUGAACUGUAAGCUUCUAUUCCAAGUAAAACUUGAAAAACUGUUCUGUUCUAAUUGAAUCAAGGGAAAAAGUAAAACAUGAAAAACUGUUCUGUUCUUGUUUUCAUGACAGACUAACAGUACAUUUCCAGCUUCUUUAAACUGUGCUGUUCUGUUUUAGCUGAUGCCUUAGUUUGAUACACAGAAGAAAGCACAUCAUCCUUGUUUACAUACUGGACAAUGCUUGCAUUUCUUAUAGACUAUUUCAGUUAUAGACCUUAUAAACUAUUUCAUGUGAGUCAUUAAUCAUUUCAGUCAAAAAUCAUAUCAAAUCAGUACAUAUAAUAUGCAUUACAAGUUUACUACAGAUUGUGCAUAUAACAUAUAAUAUACAUAUAACACACAAAACACCCUCACAAAUAAGAAAAUAAAUCUGUAUUCAGGUUGCAAAAGUGAGGUCCACGCUUAUGUCUCUGAUUACUAGACAGCACUAAACAGGAGAAACUGGUGGUCUUUUUACCAUAAACCUAGGUUUUGACAUGGGUAAGAAGUCUGGCAUAGGUUCCACAAAAUAUUCUUUAGAGCACAUAAGAUAUAUACAGAAAUUUGUUGGUUUUAUAAAAUAUGUAAUUAACUUCCACUUGAUGAGUUGAUAUAGAAUAUGUAAUUUAACGUGCAUCAAACUGUACUUAAAGAACAGAAAUUAUGUAAUAUAACUGUGUAUAAUAUGAGUAUAUACGGUGUGACAGUGUAUAAUAGAAUUACAAGACUUAAUUUGAAGGGAAGGUGACUUUUCACCUUCCCAUAGACUAGGCGUUCUAGCGCCUAGUCCAGCCUAGAUGCAUCUAGGCGGCAGUCUGACACAUGAUGCCUAAGUGAUGGACUUAGGCGAUGGGUGUGGACUCAUGCCUAGGUGACGCCUAGGCAUGUAUUAGUCCACGCCUUAACAACUAAUAACAUUUUGUACAAAUAAUGUCGUAUAUCAUUGUUUAUGUUAUAAAUAUAUGUUACUGAACAAAAUAUGAUAAAACUAAAAAAUAUGAAUAUGCUCUGUCCAAGCAUUCUCAUAUACCUCCACCUGUGUCCAGCCGUGUUGACAAGUUCUGGUGCCCUUCCAGGCGUCUCCACGUGUCUUUGUCUCUGGGUUAUGUUUUGAUUUCCUUCUUUGCAAUUUUCAGCUGGCUGCCUUUUGAUUUUUUUUUUUUGGGUAAGCGCUAAUUGGAACUCAUUGGCAUUCCAUCUGUUGUUUUUCAUUUUUUAGUAAAUGCCUAAAUGGUUUUUGUUCAAAAUAAGAGGCAUUCUCCUUCCUUAUUCUGGUGGUCUUCUGUGCCAGUAAGAAUGAAUGUUUAUGUGAGCUUUGCCCAUUGUUUUUAUUGGAAAUGACUGGUUAUGUGGGUUCUAGGUCUUUUAGGUACCCCAUUGCCCUUAACCUGCAAUUGGGAAAACAAUUUAAGUCCUAGCCACCUUAGUGGGAGCAUAAAGUGGUUGGGUCUUGAAGCAAAGGGUGUCCUCUGUGGAUUUGAAUAGGACUGGAUAAUCAGAUGGCCAGGUGUGUAAAACUUAUUUUUUCAAUAGUAUGACCAAGUUAUUCAUGGCUGAAGCCUUCUCAUGCCGGAUCAGCCGUCAGGUUGGUCACCUGAGUCAACUUGAGGCAGCUUGGCAUAUGCUUGUGGGGCCUAGCCAGCUGAAUCAGUUGAUAUCUCAGUCUAUGACUCGAUCCCCAGAUUGCAACCUGUUGUUUGUCUCACUUUUGAAUUUAUGAUCUUGCUGUUCCUCUUGAAGAUUUAGAAACAGCUUUGACUCAUUGAUCCAUGUUGUAGACUAAUUUCAUGCAUAAUUGUGUAGGUCAUUUAGGUAGGGUGCUUGUAUGCAAUGUUAUCACUGGCAUAUCUUAUCGCGUAUCGGUCGGGCCGACCUAUACGCCGUAUCGUAACGUAUCACAAAAUUAAUUUUUUAAUUUGUAAAAAAUAUUAAACAAUUAUAAAAAAUACAGAAAAACAGAAAAAUUCUAAAAAAAUCUGAAAAAACAAGCAAAAAUAAGAAAAAAUCAAGAAAAAUGUAUUUAACGGAACAUUCAUCAUUCAUGUAUAUGAAGUAUGAACUAUGAAGUAUGAAUAUGAACAACACAUUCCAAAAUAAGAAAUCAGACAUUCAAAAAGCAAAAUGACAUACUAAGCAGCCGAAGAGUAUUCGAUUGCAUCAUAAUUCACACAAAAUAAGAAAUCAGACAUUCAAAAAGCAAAAUAACAUACUAAGCAGCCGAAGAGUAUUCGAUUACAUCAUAAUUCACACAUUUCUUACCUUCUUGGUGUUAGAAACCAAAGAACCCACUUUCUUCAAGCUUCCCACUGUGCCCUCUACGCGAAAGAAAGCUAUCUCACGGGCAAAACUUGAUGCAAAUGAGGAAAAUCUCUAAGUCUCACGUCUCUUGAAGUGUUUAGAAACAAGAAAAGAGAGAGGGAGAAGAGCGUAUAUACAAGAAGAUGCAAAAAAGGGGACGUCGUCACGUCGAGGCUCCUUUUUUAAAAAUUUCCAUGUAUCGUACGAUACGGGGGUGUAUUGGCCGUAUCGUGCGAUACGGGCCCUGUAUCGCACGAUACGGGCGAUAGGCCUACGAUACACGGCCGUAUCGUGUAUUGUAGGCAUAUCGUAUAGGUCUUUAAGACCUAUACAAUACGUAUCGUACAAUAGGCGUCUGUAUCGUACGAUACGGAUUACAUUGCUUGUAUGUUUUAUGACUAGGCCAGACUGGUGCAAACAUCAAAUUGACAGAAGUUGGGUGGAAGAAUAUGGCGUUACACGUAUAAUCAGAAACAUAUAUAACAUACAGCUACAUUAAAUCUUGCUAAAUGCUUUAUGUAUCAAGUUGUAGGUUGUUAAUUAAACACUAAAAUUCUGAUUAUAUAUGUAUAUAACAAAUAAAGAUGGAAAAAAUAGGUAGUGUAACAAGAAAGGUACUGUGGGUUUCAUCUUGAAAAAUAAUCUAUAUAAAGACACUUAUAACUACCAUUUCAACUUACUGUUAUGUACGUAUCAGUGUGAAGAAUAUCUAUAUAGAAAUGUUUCUAAGUGCCAUGGCAACUUGAGUACUGUGGGUUGAUGUGUCAACUUCUAAACAUAUGAGAGAAAGCUGCAGUGAUAGAUACCCCUUAAAUAUGUUAUGCGGAUUUUGUUUCGGGGACUAUUCAUUGGUCUACUUUGUCGAUUUCUCCACUGAGCAACAUGCUUGUACAAACAGAUGUGCCAUUUGGACAAUGUACAGCUAAGCUAAACAAUCCCAUUUAUGGUUAAGGAGAGAGUUUCAUACAUGUCUUCUAGCUGUCAGGUCACUAUGGUAAUAUUACAAGGUGCAGCUACAUUUAGAUGCUUUAAGUUGAUGCCUUAAUUCACAUUUCAGUGCAGCGAGAUGAGGUCUACAUUCUCAUAUUAUUUUUAAUGGCAUCUGAAGUCUGAAGGUUAGAUAGAUGGCCUGCUAACUUAACUAUGUUCCACGGAUUUUUAUAUUUCUCCUGUCGGCUGAAUGCUGUGUGAAGUCUUGAACAUCGUGUCAAAGAACAUUAAUGAUUAUGCUUGCCAAUCUGAUUAUUGUUGAAUCAUACUUUUUCUUGUAUCUAUUUGCUGUUGGAUGUCAUAAAGAUCUCGUUCCACUGAUUUAGUUGAAGGGUACAUUAUGGUGUUGGAUUUAUGCUUGCAUUUGGUCGAGUUAGAAGGUAUAUUUCAUCCUUUCAGUUUCCAUUUUUUUCCUAAAUCCUCUCUUUAGUUCAUAUUUUGCUCUGCACAACCUUGCAUCCCUUACUUCAAUUAUGAAGGGAAGUUUCUUAUGCAUGUCCAAAUUUCAUAGUUGCUUCAAAUGUUCACAUGGUCACGUGUUCUUUCAUAGAUUAUUUUUGUGAUUGAUUCGUGUAGCACUAAUGGAUUAUAACUUCUAGUUAAUGGAUUAUAAGUUCUAGUUAAGUACAUCUUUGAAUCAAUAGGGCGAUCGCUUUAGAUUGUAUAUACUUGUUCAUCAAGUAGGUUAUGUAAGCAGGCGGGAUUACCAUAUUUGAUGAUAAGGUCCUUUUGCAGUAUAGAGGUAAGACUUCAUGGUGCUGGUAUUAGGAAAAAAUUUUGUAGAAGUAUAGAACUGAAGAAAUGUUGUAUACGGUAUUGGACAAAAUGGUUUAAGCAGUGAAGGUGAAUUAAAUGUACAAAAAUUCAAGUUGGUAUUUUUUUGUUGUAUUUAUAGAACGGAGAAUGGCCUUGUGCAUAUGAGGAUAUAUGAGUUUGUGUGCUGAUGGAAGAUGAGUUUUUAUGAGGUAUAUGGUUGGAGAUAAGAUGGAUCGGAGCAAUUAGUGUAGUUCAAAUCGGCUUUUUUCAUCUAGAGAAAAGGACCUUUGGCAUACAAGUAUCAAUGAUGAGUGCUGAAUACUUUUAACUUUUAAGAUGUUGCUUUAUUCCAUCUUUUAGUUUGUCUCGGUUUCUGCACUGAUGUUAGUUGAAUUUGCAUUUAGUAAGUGAUUGAGGUUAUGUUUGUAUGAACCUUCUGACCGAGUGAGUUUUUCUCUGCAUGGAUGGAAAAACUAGCAGCUGAAAGUGGCUCGAAUUUUUGCCAUGCUUCCUGAUCCUUAGGUUCUUGUACUAUCAGUCUAUCACAGAUUUUUAGUUGGUUAUAUAGGUUUAAAUACUAUCCCAAACCUAAAAGUGCAGUUGAGGCAUCUUAGGUGAAAGUUCGUAAGAAAUUGGAUUCACUUCCUGGGUUUGGAAGUGCAAUUGGCAAAAUUUUAUCUUGUACAGUAUGAUGUUGGAAGUAUGCUUGCAGUGGAAAUGAAUGAUUCCCAUCAUGUCUUUUUGACUUUAUUACAUAUGAUGCAGAAGUAAAUGCUAAGGGUGGUGGUUCUAGUAUCUCUAUGUUAGUCUCUGGGAGUAAUUCUUAAUGUGCAAUAUAGUGCAUUGGAAGUUGUGAUCAGAUUUUUUGAGUUUGAAGGAGCACUCAUCAUUGUAUAUACAUGUUUUUGCCCUUUAAUUUUCCCCCAUGGUGGUAUGGUUCAAUGUUGUCAAUAACUGAUCCCAGGGACAGGAGUUUUCUCUUUAUGGGUCUUCUCAGUUUCUUAUUUGGAGAAAAUAUAUUUUAGACUUUUAGGUUGGACAUGGAUGGACUAUCACUGGAAAACUAUGUUUCAUUUCUGUAUAAUCUAGUUAGGUUGUUGAGGUGGACAUCUGUUUGAUGACAAUCACUAGAUCUGCUUGACCAAAAUAUGUGAAUAAGAGACUGUUGUGAUCUAGCAUUUGUUUCAUCUCCUGGACCUUACACACUUUGAUGUUUCAUAUAGUAAGCUUGAAGUCUGCUGAAGGUGGAUGCUUGUUAAUUCUGUUGAAGUAGCUUAUAAAGCAUUACUGUUUGUAGAUUGAGAAGUAGAUGUCUCAAGGCAUUAUGCAAAAAGUAGAUGCUUGUAGCGGUGUCAGUGUUGCAUAUUGCUGGUCUACUCAUUGUUUUUGGCCAAGUCCUUUUGUCUCUAGUCUUGUGCUAGGCUUGACAAAAACUAUCACAGCAGUAUCAGUUUUUCCUGUUCCACAAAAUUAGUGGCGCCUUUCAGUCUAUGUUCCUGCCCAGUUCAUGAUCUUUCCGAGGAUCUGUUUAGAUAUACUCGAGAAAGUUUUGAAUUUCUACUCUAAUGGCUGUUGCUGGUUAUGAAGUUAGAUCUUAGCUUUGCAGGUUUGGUCUAGAGUUUGACUCAUUUAUCUGACCUCAACUAGAUCUUUCUUAUUGAAGCAUUUCGGAAACAUAUUAUAUAAAACCAUUUUAAUAUCUGAAAAAGGCCUGGGAAACAAGGUGAGUGUCAUUGUGCUUCAUCUCAUCUUGUUUGAGGUUUGGGAGAUGAACUCAGCAAGCCUUGCUGAAAUUUAUUCAUACCCAACCGAGGUCCAAAGCUAAUAUAUACGUGCUUGUGCUACUAGACAUUGACUGUUUUGAAAUUCACGCUUUGAAUUUUAGGAAACUUGUUUGAAGCAUUUAGUGUACAGAUGAGCAACCUCAAAAAAUCUGAUCACAACACUGAGCGUGACAACAUUGUAUGUUUCCUAGGAAUAUCACUUGAAAAGCAACCUUAAGUUUCGUAAACAUAACCCAGCUCAUUAAGGUAAGCAGAAUACAUCUUGAAGUCAUUUAGAAACUAAUCCUGGGAAUUUAGAUGAGAGAUGUAGGAUUACUUAUUAUUUAGUAUCAAUUUAUGUCCUUGUCGGUCAGAUGCUAUGUUAUUGAAUUAAAAGAAACAAUUAAAGAACAAUUCAGCUGUGCUGAAAUCUUGUUUGGUUAUCAGAGGAAAACUGAAAAGAUAUGUAAAUUACAGAGUACCUUUUAUGAACGAAUUAUACCUUGUUAAUUCUGUUGAUGUAGGUUUUGCAAUUAGGAAGUUUAGUGUUACGUUGACAGGAAGCAAAACUUAGAAUGAUGUUUCUGUCUCUCCUAUCUCCAUUUUAUUGCAGAAUUAUAUCUAAAUUUUGCAUCUUGGGCUUUUGUUUUUUGGGGCUUUUUAGUUGGGAUCAGCCUUACGCCUUAGCAGUUCAAGUGGACCUCAAUAUCUGGUUUUUUAGUGUUACAUCGUGGAUUAUGUGAUUGCUGUGAUCAUUUGGUCGUCCAAUAUCUAUCGACAGCUUUGCAGCUUUUGUCUGCUAACAGUUUUCUUUUUAGUGUUUUUCCUAUGAUUUUUUGCAAGGUUUCCUGGGUGGGCUUUUCUUUGUUAAAGGAGCUACUGCUAUCUGUUGAAUAUUCACUAUUUUGUCCAACUCGGCCUUGUGUUUUGAAA
RNA transcript from Nymphaea colorata (pocket water lily), 13765 nucleotides. RefSeq lists it as uncharacterized. NCBI's taxonomy places the organism in Eukaryota, Viridiplantae, Streptophyta, Magnoliopsida, Nymphaeales, Nymphaeaceae. The record is from RefSeq and is a predicted model, not a curated record. The transcript has 8 exons.